UUGUAUGUCAAAGAUGAACUGGCUUUACCUUUGCCAGAGCUGAGAUCUCAGAUCAGUUGGUUUUGAUUAAUCAGAAAGGAGGUGAUCCUGGGUGGGCCCCAGCUAAUCAGAUGAACCCUUAAAGAGACAGGCCCUUCUUGAAGCCAAAGAUUUAGAAGCAUCAGAGAGAUUCUACCAGCCUUCAGGAAGUAAGUUGCCAUGUCCUGAGAGGACCAUGUGUCUAGACAGCUGAGAGCAACCCUCGAAUGACAUGGAAGGAGUAGGAGCCUCGGUCACAACCACCAGUUACUGACUUCUGCCAACAAUCUGAAUGAACUUGGAAGAUGGCUUACCUUGUAUGUUCCUGCCCUUGCCAUCAAGUCAGCUAUUUCUCUGAAGAGCCCAGAUUCCUUGAAACUGAGGACAGUAUUUACCACCCAGGAUCUGGCUGCUGAAUAUGCUCUUUGCUGCUGAGUCUGUCAGAUGCAGACAGGCCCCGGGAAUGCACUGUGGCUGUCCUAUAGAUCAAAAAGUGGCAGUUUGUGGGGAAUGGGGCUUUUGAUGAGUUCCAGAUCUGUUCUCCCCACUCUGGUGACAGCUAGGCUGCAGGUUCACAGUUUCUGGAGUUUCUGAGCUGUUAAUCUCCCUGGCUACUGUGCAGUUGAGGAGGGGAAAAUGAGAUUAAGGCAAGUUACUGCCCCAAGGCCUUUUUCCAGAAUUCCACUCUUUGUGCUCAAUAAAUUCUCUUUGAAUUGUUACAAGCCUUUGAUUUGCAGAAUUCUGAAAAAAAUUGAUUUUGGUUGUUUCUGCCAGUGUUCUCAUGCCUUCUCUGGAGUAUUGCAUUUUCAGAGAUCCUUAGUCUGCCAUUUCAGAAGUGGAAACUCUGAUUUUUUUAAGUAUAGUUUGACAUUUUUAAGUAUAGUUUAACAUCAUAAUGCCUUUUUUUCAUAUUUGCACUUUAGAAAUAUUUAAGACUGCCAUAGAGACUGAAUAUGUGCCAUAUUCUAGUCCUUUCAUUCCCGAAUCCCCCUUUGUGCCUCACUGUCCAGAGACUCCUCUUCCUGGCAGGAUGCUCCUCAGUCCUGAGCAUUUAGGGCCUUAACUCCUCCAAAUGUGUAAGCUACCUUUUUCAGGGGUUCCACAGAAUGGCUUUAUUUACCAUUCACAUACAUCUUGAGUAAGUAUGAGUUUAUAUCCCAGCUGGAUCCUACGCAAAAAUAUUUGAAAUUUAUUUGCCUGGAUGUGUUGCUUGGCAGGUCUAUUUGUUACAUAAUAAUAUAAAUGGGACUUAAAUCUUAGACUUCCUGAACAAAUUUGUGAUUCAGCCCUGUAUCUGCUGACACAGCAGCUCUUUUCAGCCUUCUGUAUGCCCGCGGACUCCAAGCCAGUUUAAACUUCCUUGAGUAGCUGAAUUCUGUUAAGUGAACCUGGAAUCAACAGAAACGCUCCUUAUUUCAGCCAAAUGCACAUAAAACAGUCAUUCCAGUCUACGAAGAAGGAAAACCUGGCCCCAGUGAAUCCCUGGUUGUCUCGGGCUGAAUGCUUGUCCCUGUGCAGCUCUGAAGGGUUCUGUGUUCUCCCCAAACUGGGCAGAUGAUGGGCACGGCCCCUCAGUAAACAAACCUGCCAGCUCACCUGGCCCCAGCCACAAUAGUGCUUCAGUGCAGGGCUCUCUCUGCUCUUUGGGAUAUGCCCUACAGCUAAUUGGUACUAGGAAAAAGGGAAAAGACCUUGACCUUCUGAAUGGGAUAUUCAAACCCCUCUGUCUGGGGAACAAAAGGCCUCACAGGGAAGGGGUACCCAGUAACAAGUGGGGAGACCUGGGAGAUAGCUAGGAAGAUACUGCAGGUGCCCAUAGCUUCUGUUCUGUUACAUUUCUGCAGAAAACUGCUGUAACAAGGCUGUGGGAUGGGAACUGCAAGAAGAAUCCUGAAAUAGGCCUCCUGGGCCUACCCACGAAUUUGCGAGGUCUAUUGUUCCAAACCCGCCAUGUCCAGUCACAGGAUUGGGAAAUGGGGUUUGGCCACGCUCUUGGCCUCGCCUCACUGGCCUUCCCUCAUUCUUCUGAGGCCUCACCCACAUUUCCUGUGUUGUUAGGGGGCAGCUUUAGUGAACAUCAGGCAAAGGCGCCGCUCACCCUCCACCCUUGUGGUCUCAGCAGCCCUCACACCCCUUGUCAUAAAUUGUCCUCCCUGAUAUUCUGGAAGCAGCACAGGGCCCUCAGUGUUCCUGUCUUGUUCAAGUCUGUAUUCCCUGUAAGGAUCAGGCAUACAAGAGGCCCUCCCUUAAUAAUCAUUGAGUCACUGAAAUACUAAACCAUUAAAGGGGUAUGGUCUUUCUCCUCAACCAUGUGAAAAAUGGUGGGCCUUACAGUGAAAGAGUAAAAAGGAUUUUUUAAAUGUUUAAGCCUUGAAGGGGUAGAAGCCAAACCAUAAGGUGACACAGAUGGAGGUGAUGUGUCUUCCUGCUCAGGUCACUCAAGAACUUCUGGGACCAAGAGCACUGCUGGCUGUCUCCCUGCCUCGAAGCAGAGGGGCCUUGACUUAAGAGUUCAGCUUAGGAUUUUUCAACUUUACGAUGGUGUGAAAGUGAUACACAUUCAGAAGAAUCUGCACUUGAACUUUGAUUUCUCUUCUGAUGCUGGGCAGGAGCAGUGCGCCUCAACUCCGGAUGAGCCUCGCAGCCAUGAGGGUAACCAACCCAUACACUGACAGCUGUUCUGUUUUUCCCUUUCAGUACAGUAUUCAAGUUACAGGAGAUACUCAGCACUUAUAUAGAGUAAGCUUUGUGUUAGACGGUUUUGCCCAACUGUAGGCUAAUGUAAGUGUUCUGAGCGUGUUUAAGGGAGGCUGGGCUGAGCCAUGAUGUGUCAUAGAUUUGGUGUUCUCAAUGCAUUUUUGACCUACAAUGGGUUGAUGAGGACGUGAUCUAUAUGUGACACUGACAUGCACUGGCCUUCCCUCAUGUGAGGUGCCCUCCAAGGUCUUGCACAGUUCCUCCUGAACAAGCCAUCCUCCUAGCCUAUUUACAAACUUGGAACUUUUAAACUGGUACCAGCUACCUAGUACACACCAUGCAGUUCAUCACCACACAUAAACAGACCCAGUGGAUGCAGGGACAGUGGUGGAGAUGGAUUGCUCAAGUUGGCGGUUGGGAGUCCCAUCAAUUGGAGACCAUCCAGAACCACUGAAAGUCCACAAAGUCACGUUUGGUAUUUGCUGCAGCAAGUUUCAGGGGGCUGGAGGCAUCUCAGCUGGAGGGAGUUAGGGAACGAUAAUCACAGCCUUUAAGAUUACAGAGUUUUAGGAUGGGCUUGGCAGGGGCGGGUCAGAUUUUGUCAACUGGAGGGCUGCUAGAAAAGCCAAUUGUCUUUAUGAGUGAGCAGGUGUUAGGAGGUGACACGCAGAUGUUUGGGAUGUCGGAGCUGAAUAUGGGUGCUCGUAUAGGUUGUGUGAGUCCCAGGGCAGCCCAUCUUGAAAGGCUGUGUGUCUGUUUCAGUGCUCAGCUCCCCCACAGCCUGGCUGGCAGCAGGGCAGCUUUGCAUUUUCAUCACGAGGAGCAUAUGGCAAACAGGAGAGCUGGACAGAUGUCAGGUGGUGACCUGCCUACCUGCCGGCUUUGUCUCCUCUCCCGCCAGCAGUGAGAGGUAAGGCUGUGUGCAGUGACGCCUGCGAGCCUGCAGGGAAGGACCUGACCUCAGAGGAAUUCUGUCAUUUGUCUUGGGACUCACUUCUGAUCUAGACAUAAACUGUGUUCCCCUUCUGUUUGUCUAAGAGGAGAAGGAAAUGCAGGCCAUGCGCUCUGGUUCUUAGGGCAGAACUGUAAUGAGGCCCUUCACUUGCCUGUGAGGUCUCCCAAUGCACCUGAAAGCAGAGAUCCCCAGUGAUCCCAGAUUAUUGACAAAGAAGAGAGUGACUGGUCUGGGCUGUGGACAUUUGAAGAGAAGUGUGCUCGGCAGUGGCUGUCACAUUCCCCAGGAUGGAGAGGACCCUUCCGCCAGCGAGGACACAAUUCAACCUACAGCAUGAGGUCUGUUCUGCUUCCAAGGCAAGAGGUUGGGACAGAGCUGGAGUUUGGCCUAUAGGACAGCCUGAAACCCUCCAUGUUGCUGGAAGACUAAGUCGACCUUUGAGACAACCAUUCACGCCCAGUCUUAUCAUUUAAGAUUAGCAAUGGUUGCUACUCAUGUGAAACCUUCGUAAGAUUGUUUAUCAGUGAUACCAUCAUUAAAAAAAAGGAAG
Molecule: non-coding RNA, 4220 nt
Organism: Manis javanica (Malayan pangolin)
Lineage: Eukaryota; Metazoa; Chordata; Mammalia; Pholidota; Manidae
Source: RefSeq, a predicted model, not a curated record